GAUGAACGCUAGCUACAGGCUUAACACAUGCAAGUCGAGGGGCAGCAUGAACUUAGCUUGCUAAGUUUGAUGGCGACCGGCGCACGGGUGAGUAACACGUAUCCAACCUUCCGUUUACUCAGGGAUAGCCUUUCGAAAGAAAGAUUAAUACCUGAUAGUAUGGUGAGAUUGCAUGAUAGCACCAUUAAAGAUUUAUUGGUAAACGAUGGGGAUGCGUUCCAUUAGGUAGUAGGCGGGGUAACGGCCCACCUAGCCGACGAUGGAUAGGGGUUCUGAGAGGAAGGUCCCCCACAUUGGAACUGAGACACGGUCCAAACUCCUACGGGAGGCAGCAGUGAGGAAUAUUGGUCAAUGGGCGAGAGCCUGAACCAGCCAAGUAGCGUGCAGGAUGACGGCCCUAUGGGUUGUAAACUGCUUUUAUAAGGGAUAAAGUGGGAGUCGUGACUCUUUUUGCAUGUACCUUAUGAAUAAGGACCGGCUAAUUCCGUGCCAGCAGCCG
RNAcentral lists this ribosomal RNA (499 nucleotides) under uncultured bacterium. RNAcentral's name for it is "bacterial SSU rRNA". It matches the Rfam family "Bacterial small subunit ribosomal RNA", at positions 28 to 517 of the family's 1533-position model. The record is from RNAcentral.